This 1605-nucleotide ribosomal RNA is filed under the name Salmonella enterica. RNAcentral's name for it is "bacterial LSU rRNA". It matches the Rfam family "Bacterial large subunit ribosomal RNA", at positions 1225 to 2812 of the family's 2925-position model. Lineage: Bacteria; Pseudomonadati; Pseudomonadota; Gammaproteobacteria; Enterobacterales; Enterobacteriaceae. The record is from RNAcentral.
UGGGUAGGGGAGCGUUCUGUAAGCCUGUGAAGGUGGCCUGUGAGGGUUGCUGGAGGUAUCAGAAGUGCGAAUGCUGACAUAAGUAACGAUAAAGCGGGUGAAAAGCCCGCUCGCCGGAAGACCAAGGGUUCCUGUCCAACGUUAAUCGGGGCAGGGUGAGUCGACCCCUAAGGCGAGGCCGAAAGGCGUAGUCGAUGGGAAACGGGUUAAUAUUCCCGUACUUGGUGUUACUGCGAAGGGGGGACGGAGAAGGCUAUGUUGGCCGGGCGACGGUUGUCCCGGUUUAAGCGUGUAGGUGUGUGUUCCAGGUAAAUCCGGUUCACUUUAACACUGAGGCGUGAUGACGAGGCACUACGGUGCUGAAGCAACAAAUGCCCUGCUUCCAGGAAAAGCCUCUAAGCAUCAGGUAACAUCAAAUCGUACCCCAAACCGACACAGGUGGUCAGGUAGAGAAUACCAAGGCGCUUGAGAGAACUCGGGUGAAGGAACUAGGCAAAAUGGUGCCGUAACUUCGGGAGAAGGCACGCUGACAUGUAGGUGAAGUGAUUUACUCAUGGAGCUGAAGUCAGUCGAAGAUACCAGCUGGCUGCAACUGUUUAUUAAAAACACAGCACUGUGCAAACACGAAAGUGGACGUAUACGGUGUGACGCCUGCCCGGUGCCGGAAGGUUAAUUGAUGGGGUCAGCGCAAGCGAAGCUCCUGAUCGAAGCCCCGGUAAACGGCGGCCGUAACUAUAACGGUCCUAAGGUAGCGAAAUUCCUUGUCGGGUAAGUUCCGACCUGCACGAAUGGCGUAAUGAUGGCCAGGCUGUCUCCACCCGAGACUCAGUGAAAUUGAACUCGCUGUGAAGAUGCAGUGUACCCGCGGCAAGACGGAAAGACCCCGUGAACCUUUACUAUAGCUUGACACUGAACAUUGAGCCUUGAUGUGUAGGAUAGGUGGGAGGCUUUGAAGCGUGGACGCCAGUCUGCAUGGAGCCGGCCUUGAAAUACCACCCUUUAAUGUUUGAUGUUCUAACGUGGACCCGUGAUCCGGGUUGCGGACAGUGUCUGGUGGGUAGUUUGACUGGGGCGGUCUCCUCCUAAAGAGUAACGGAGGAGCACGAAGGUUGGCUAAUCCUGGUCGGACAUCAGGAGGUUAGUGCAAUGGCAUAAGCCAGCUUGACUGCGAGCGUGACGGCGCGAGCAGGUGCGAAAGCAGGUCAUAGUGAUCCGGUGGUUCUGAAUGGAAGGGCCAUCGCUCAACGGAUAAAAGGUACUCCGGGGAUAACAGGCUGAUACCGCCCAAGAGUUCAUAUCGACGGCGGUGUUUGGCACCUCGAUGUCGGCUCAUCACAUCCUGGGGCUGAAGUAGGUCCCAAGGGUAUGGCUGUUCGCCAUUUAAAGUGGUACGCGAGCUGGGUUUAGAACGUCGUGAGACAGUUCGGUCCCUAUCUGCCGUGGGCGCUGGAGAACUGAGGGGGGCUGCUCCUAGUACGAGAGGACCGGAGUGGACGCAUCACUGGUGUUCGGGUUGUCAUGCCAAUGGCACUGCCCGGUAGCUAAAUGCGGAAGAGAUAAGUGCUGAAAGCAUCUAAGCACGAAACUUGCCCCGAGAUGAGUUCU